UCAUCAGUCAGGCUGCUGGCUAUACACCAGGACUUAUCUGGUCCUGGAUAUAACCACUGCCAGACUGAAAG
Non-coding RNA from Mus musculus (house mouse), 71 nucleotides. NCBI's taxonomy places the organism in Eukaryota, Metazoa, Chordata, Mammalia, Rodentia, Muridae. The record is from Rfam.